UGUUUGGUAAUCAAAAAUGAAUCAGGGUUGCAAACUUUGAAGUGAGGCUACUCCCAAAUAU
This 61-nucleotide transfer RNA is filed under the name Kaylathalia klovstadi. RNAcentral describes it as "tRNA-Cys". Lineage: Eukaryota; Metazoa; Arthropoda; Collembola; Entomobryomorpha; Isotomidae. The record is from RNAcentral.